Molecule: long non-coding RNA, 147 nt
Organism: Octopus sinensis (East Asian common octopus)
Lineage: Eukaryota; Metazoa; Mollusca; Cephalopoda; Octopoda; Octopodidae
Exons: 3
Source: RefSeq, a predicted model, not a curated record
UAGUAAUUAUAAGGAUACAGACUAGCUAGAAAGAUGGAUAUACUAUUCUGACAAUGGUUAAAUUAAUGUAGGUCGCUCCUUAUCUAUUUCGACUUUUCAUGGCAUAGAAAAGGUUAAGAGUCAAGUGGAAAACACAUUGAACAGAAA